RNAcentral lists this unclassified non-coding RNA (404 nucleotides) under soil metagenome. RNAcentral's name for it is "partial contains 5.8S ribosomal RNA, internal transcribed spacer 2, and large subunit ribosomal RNA". The stretch from base 1 to 122 matches the Rfam family "5.8S ribosomal RNA", at positions 35 to 154 of the family's 154-position model. The record is from RNAcentral.
GAUGAAGAACGUAGCAAAAUGCGAUACUUGGUGUGAAUUGCAGAAUCCCGUGAACCAUCGAGUUUUUGAACGCAAGUUGCGCCCGAAGCCUUUUGGCCGAGGGCACGUCUGCCUGGGCGUCACGCAUCGCGUCGCCCCCCACAAUUCUCCGUAAAGGGAACGUGUGUUUUGGGGGCGGAUAUUGGUCUCCCGUGCUCAUGGCGUGGUUGGCCGAAAUAGGAGUCCUUUCGAUGGACGCACGAACUAGUGGUGGUCGUAAAAACCCUCGUCUUUUGUUUCGUGCUGUUGCUCGCAAGGUAAACUCUUUAAAAACCCCAAUGUGUCGUCUCUUGACGACGCUUCGACCGCGACACCAGGUCAGGCGGGACUACCCGCUGAGUUUAAGCAUAUCAAUAAGCGGAGGA